AUUGAACGCUGGCGGCAUGCUUUACACAUGCAAGUCGAACGGCAGCGCGGGCUUCGGCCUGGCGGCGAGUGGCGAACGGGUGAGUAAUGCAUCGGAACGUGCCCAGUAGUGGGGGAUAGCCCGGCGAAAGCCGGAUUAAUACCGCAUACGACCUGAGGGUGAAAGCGGGGGACCGAAAGGCCUCGCGCUAUUGGAGCGGCCGAUGUCGGAUUAGCUAGUUGGUGGGGUAAAGGCGUACCAAGGCGACGAUCCGUAGCUGGUCUGAGAGGACGACCAGCCACACUGGCACUGAGACACGGCCCAGACUCCUACGGGAGGCAGCAGUGGGGAAUUUUGGACAAUGGGGGCAACCCUGAUCCAGCCAUGCCGCGCGCGAGAAGAAGGCCUUCGGGUUGUAAACCGCUUUUGUUCGGGAAGAAAGCCUCUGGGCUAAUACCACGGGGGGAUGACGGUACCGGAAGAAUAAGCACCGGCUAACUACGUG
RNAcentral lists this ribosomal RNA (484 nucleotides) under uncultured bacterium. RNAcentral describes it as "partial 16S ribosomal RNA". It matches the Rfam family "Bacterial small subunit ribosomal RNA", at positions 29 to 507 of the family's 1533-position model. The record is from RNAcentral.